GACAAAUCAGUUUUAAAAAACUCAGCUCUCUUUAACCUUAUCCAUGGCAUGUAAUGGGCCAAUAUAUUAGUCCAUCAUCCAUUAUUUCUUCUUCAGAGCCUCAUGAAUCUUGUCAGGUGGGAAUGUUCACAUGUUCAAACAAUGUGUGUGUGGAGCUGAACAGAGUGUCUGACUACAGCGAUGACUGCAGCGAUGGAACGGAUGAAGAGCUCUGUGAAAGGAGAACAGGCCUGGCCUAAGCAUAGACCACCAAGAGAUCACACCCACAAUACUGCAGCAGGUCAUUACAUUACUCCAGCGCAUGAUCUGGGUGAAAUCCAGACAGCACAGAUCACCUCUAGCACCCUGCUGCCCAGCACUUAUUUCACCGUGAAAUUGUACCACUAUUCUCAUGGUGAAAAUAGCACAGCUGCCAGGCUAGUCAUCAUACUGAGGACACUUCGUAAUGGAGAUGAUGACCGUAUACUUUGGGACAAGACUGUGACACAGAGCUUUCUCUGGCACAGAGCGGAAGUCACCUUUUCUACUUCAGUUAAGAGCAAGACAAUGGUCAGACCUGACCCAACAAUAACACCAGCUACAGCAACAACACCAAUGACUGAUGCUCCUCCAGCUUCACCAACAGUCAACCCUUGUAAGGUCAUGAGCUGCAACUCAACUGUAUGUUGUAUACACUGACUUUACUAUGUACAAAUAUGAAAUGUGAAUAUGUGCCAUAGUCUAAUUUUUGCUGCUCCUUUACUUUUUGACAAAAGCAUUGUGAAACCUGUAUUGCAUUGCUAAGACACUUGGUUUGUCAAAUUCAGGAGAAUGAGUUUCACUGCUGGCAGUCAGAUGGUUUAACAUGCAUUGCAGCUGGUGCUCAGUGUAAUUAUAUCCUAGACUGCCCUCUAGGGGAAGAUGAAGAAACACGCGGUGAGUCAUUCAUUCAUUCAUUCCUUCAUUUUAGGAAAAAUAGAAGUAAAAAAAAUACAUUUUAAUUGUCAAAAUAAAUUCUAAGUAUUCUCAAGAUCAAACAGACCUAAAAGUAUAUGAAAAAAAAUAAAAAUAAA
Cyprinus carpio carpio is the source of this 1052-nucleotide long non-coding RNA. NCBI's taxonomy places the organism in Eukaryota, Metazoa, Chordata, Actinopteri, Cypriniformes, Cyprinidae. The record is from Ensembl.